Molecule: long non-coding RNA, 2277 nt
Organism: Stegodyphus dumicola
Lineage: Eukaryota; Metazoa; Arthropoda; Arachnida; Araneae; Eresidae
Source: RefSeq, a predicted model, not a curated record
AACACGAAUAAUUUCUACUCUCCCUCUGUUCUGCACUCUAUAUAAGGAACCGCUCAGCGCAGCUGGAAUAUUUUAUCUGCUGUGGUGGCAUCAUUAGAAAGGAAGUUCCUCGGACUAUAGAUAUUCAGCAUGACAAUACUUAGGAAAAUUUUGAUUUCGUCUCUGAUGGCUUUCAUUAUGGCAGAACUUGCUCUAGCAGGCAUCCUGGGCCAUAGCGGUGUCGUAUUCCAUGUGGAUAAAUAUGGACAUUGGUCAGGCCAUAGUUCUCAUUACGACUACCGAUUCUAUCCUGAAAAGAACAUUAUUGAUCAUAUUCCACUCAUCGACCAUCACCAUAACAUCAUAGAUGAACACAGCCACUUUGACGACAUUCAUUCAGAUGCUUAUGAUUUGCUGGAUGAUGGAUACCAUGGUAGUCAGCCAAUUUAUGUUUUCGUUCAGAAACGUCAUCAUGAUUACCAUUAAAGAAGAGAGAAUGCCAUUUUUCCACGGACAAGAAAAAAUUUCAAUAAAGGCAAAAUUUCUGACGUGAACAGGCUGAAGACAGUGAACCUUACUAAAGGAACAGUUUAUACAUCAAAAGCUGUACAGAAUUUUGUCCAAGACACUGUGCCACAUGAAUAGUUGUUUGAGUAAAAUUCUUUAUAAUUUAUACACUAUGCAAUCACAAAUAGUUAUGUACAUAGUUCAUUGUAUCACAAAUAAAGUCAUAUGUAUUUUACAGCUUUCUCUCUCCAAUUAUUUCGAAAAUAGUAUGAUAAAAACUAGCACAGAAAUGAAAUUAGUUGUCUUCACCAUUCUUAGAAAGCAUAAGCUUCACAUACAAUUUUGUUUACAAUGUUCAGAAAAGGCAGUUUUUACACCUUAAAUAUCGAUCCUAAACAUAUAUUUUCACACACAAAAUUUCAAGAAAUACGAUAGAGAAUUUAAUAAGAAUAAUUUCAAAACUAUGUUUUCAACAAUAGCAACAAUAAAAAAACUUAACCUUUUAUAUGACCUUCGUUGAGUAAAAAAUAGCCGUUAAUAAAUUAUUUAUAUUUUAGUGAAAUAAAAACAACAUUAUUCAUACCUUUACGUAAAAAGACAGCGAGGAUUAGCUUUAUAAAUAUAUCCAAAGAAGGCUCCGCUUUAAUAAUAAAUGCCGCUUUGGUCAGAUCAAAACAUUAAGCUUCCAAAACAAGAUUUUUUUUUUGUAGCUGCUCCGUAUAUCUGCAAUUUUGAGGUCUCGAAUGCACAUUAAUACAUUCUCCACCCAAUCAUGCUUGUGCAAUUAUUCUAUAUAUUGUUCAAAAAUCUUCAGAAUGGUACUUGAAAAAGAUGGAACUCUUUUGGAAAGAACUCAUGAUCGUCGAUGAAGUAAAUCUCACUACGUUAAGUCUGGAAUAAAGCUAAAAGUGUACGGCCAACUCAGGGCUGAAAAUUCCCGAAGUAAUCCUUGCCAACUGCAAAUGUAAAUCUUACCGAACUGGCUCUUGAAAUUAUCUUUGGUAUUCAAUUACUAUUGAGUGAAGAAAAAAUGUACAUACAGAUUUAAAAAAAAUACAGUGCCGGAUCUUUGAUUUUUCUGAUGUGGGGAAAGCUAAAACUGCCGCUCUCACCCAUCAUUCUUUAGGUUUCUCUAACAAGUUUUAAUUUGUUUAAUAAAUACAGAAAUAGGUAGGGUUUUCAAGUAAAAACCUAAGCUCCAUUUUAUACUAAAUUCCUUAAGUGCCUUUUGUAUUGUUUUGUUAUAAAGGAAAAAUGCGUACCAAAGUUACAUAAUUAGAAAAUCGUCCCUUCCUAGGAGAACCGCCUUUCUGGUGAGCUUACUUUCGGAUUUAAUCCUAAUCCUAACUCUAAUACUGAAGUGCUUCUAAUUCUCCAGUCCUCUAAACCAUUCGUUUUUUCACUCUAGGGGGGAAGGAGUAUCUCCUAAGCUUCUCACUAUUCGAUGUUAUUGCAUACUGGUUAAAUUACGUUAGGUUAGAUUAUAUAAAUAUGGCAAAGACAAUUGGGCUAUCUGCUUAGAGGAGAGGUGCUUUCGUGGAGGAACGUUUUAAAGGAAACUGGCUCGUAUUCACGUUACACAUGAAGAAAUCCACAAAAACAAACCAUGCAGCCAUCCCGUUCGCCUGGGUUUGAACCCAGGCAAGGUUGAACUACCAGUAUUCGGUCUUAAUGACUCGGCCACUGCUGAUCACAUUUGUCUGAUCAUUUAACCAUGUGUUUCGCCAUUAGGCACUGCAUGGAAAAGGAGAAAUGCCCUGUGGAAAAAAAAAAAAAAAAAAAAAAAAAAAA